RNAcentral lists this ribosomal RNA (687 nucleotides) under uncultured bacterium. RNAcentral's name for it is "bacterial SSU rRNA". It matches the Rfam family "Bacterial small subunit ribosomal RNA", at positions 150 to 857 of the family's 1533-position model. The record is from RNAcentral.
ACCGAAAGGUAUGCUAAUACGGGAUAAUAUAUUUGAGAGGCAUCUCUUAAAUAUCAAAGGUGAACCAGUACAGGAUGGACCCGCGUCUGAUUAGCUAGUUGGUAAGGUAACGGCUUACCAAGGCGACGAUCAGUAGCCGACCUGAGAGGGUGAUCGGCCACAUUGGAACUGAGACACGGUCCAAACUCCUACGGGAGGCAGCAGUGGGGAAUAUUGCACAAUGGGCGAAAGCCUGAUGCAGCAACGCCGCGUGAGUGAUGAAGGCCUUCGGGUCGUAAAACUCCGUCCUCAAGGAAGAUAAUGACGGUACUUGAGGAGGAAGCCCCGGCUAACUACGUGCCAGCAGCCGCGGUAAUACGUAGGGGGCUAGCGUUAUCCGGAUUUACUGGGCGUAAAGGGUGCGUAGGCGGUCUUUCAAGUCAGGAGUGAAAGGCUACGGCUCAACCGUAGUAAGCUCUUGAAACUGGGAGACUUGAGUGCAGGAGAGGAGAGUGGAAUUCCUAGUGUAGCGGUGAAAUGCGUAGAUAUUAGGAGGAACACCAGUUGCGAAGGCGGCUCUCUGGACUGUAACUGACGCUGAGGCACGAAAGCGUGGGGAGCAAACAGGAUUAGAUACCCUGGUAGUCCACGCUGUAAACGAAGAGUACUAGGUGUCGGGGGUUACCCCCUUCGGUGCCGCAGCUAACG